Hevea brasiliensis (rubber tree) is the source of this 1731-nucleotide RNA transcript. It is a transcript of the gene named transcription factor BOA, with no coding region annotated. The transcript is spliced from 4 exons. Lineage: Eukaryota; Viridiplantae; Streptophyta; Magnoliopsida; Malpighiales; Euphorbiaceae. The record is from RefSeq and is a predicted model, not a curated record.
AAUAUCUGGCCAAGGAGUCCACGUUGGCACUCUAACCAGACCGAUCUGGAAUCAGAUAUUGCACUUUUUCGCUCCUUUACAUUCCCCCAGAGAACAAAAAAAAAAACAUUUUCCUUUCCUUUCCUCCAAACACAACCCCCAGAAAUAUCUCCGCUUCUUUCUGACUCCGAUCCAAUCCAAUUCUAAUUGAUCAAAUUGGGGACUUUGUAGAGUGUGAAUUAUGGGGGAGGAAGUGAAGAUGGGUGAGUACGAACCGAACGGGGAGGAUACCAACGGAGAUGUAGAGAGAGUUGCAGAGUGGGAGAUUGGCCUACCUACUGCCGACGAUCUCACCCCUUUGUCUCAGCUGUUGAUUCCUCCGGAGCUCGCGUUGGCGUUCAGUAUCUCGCCGGAGCGUCAACGCACGCUUAUCGACGUCAACCGAGCUUCGCAAAAUACUGUCUCGAAUCUCCGUAGCGUUGGCGGUGGGGGACAGUUAAACGCGCUGUCCUCGAAUAACUUUAAGUCUUAUAAUGAAGACCUAGCUCGCGACCCGAUGGUGGUGGAGCUGGAGCCGGAGGAUAACAACAUGGAUCGGGACGGUUCGGUGUCCGAGUCGAGGAAGUUGAGGAAAAUCGAUUCGGAAGAAGCGGAUUCGGCUUUGAGAACGGAAAAUUCCGGCGACGAUCCGUCUGCGAGGACGCCGAAACGGCCACGUCUUGUGUGGACACCGCAGCUGCAUAAGAGAUUCGUGGAUGUGGUGGCUUAUCUUGGAAUAAAAAACGCGGUACCGAAGACCAUCAUGCAGUUAAUGAACGUGGAAGGUUUGACCCGCGAGAAUGUGGCGAGCCAUUUGCAAAAGUAUCGCCUUUAUUUGAAGAGGAUGCAGGGGUUGUCGAGUGAGGGUCCCUCGUCUUCUGAUCAGUUGUUUGCCUCUACGCCCGUGCCGCAGAGCUUGCACGAGAGUGGUAGUGGCGCAGGCGCUGGUGGUGGUGGUAGUGGAGGUAACGGAGCCGCCCACGGGAAUGGCCACUUGGGAAUGCCCAUUCCUGUCCCGUAUCAUCCGGCGGCGGGGCCGAUGAUGCCAAUGCCGAUGUAUGGACACAUGGGCAAUCAUCACCAUCAUCAGGGAUUCGAUGGUAAUAUUCCCUAUAAUAUGUUACAACAGAGGGAUUGGAGUGGGAAUAAUUAUGGUUCGAUCGUGUCUUACCCGCAUCAUCCUCAUCACGUUGCUCCUCCUAAUGAUAAUAUGUGAUAUCAUCAAGGCUUCUUUUUUACCGAGAAAGAGAGCUGACCUGAUUUUCAGAAACCAUGGGAUGCUGCAAAUCAAUUGAUCUCAAUCCUGUUUGAAGUUUGCCUGAUUUUCAAAAAGUUCACUCGCGGGUUCUAAGAUUCUGAAGUAUAAGCAAACGUGUUAUACAUUGAAAUAUGGCUGAGAAUUUGGACAUUUGACAAACACGAGAAGGGCUUUCAGGAAGGCCUACGCGGAGACAAUCCAGAUACAUAUUUCAGAAUCAUGAAUACUUGCAAAGCUUCUCUUGGUUCAUAUCAUAUUCUAGUUAUCUGAGGCAACAAAUCGAUUUGGGGACGUCACUUAUAAUUACUUAAGAUGAUGAAAAUUCAUAGAUUACAUUCUUAACCUGUUCGUUAAUUGAUAAAAUGUUAAAUAAAUUGUAUAACUGGAUAUGUUAAACUUUCUAUUUUAGCAAUAGAGGAAAAGUGAAUAAAGGAGCACUGAACAAAAUUCAGUUA